UUCGCAAUGCCCGAAAGGGUGACAAUGCGACGCCGCGUGAGCGAUGAAGGCCUUCGGGUUGUAAAGCUCUGUCAGCUCGGAUGAAAGCGGGGGAGUUAAUAACUUUUCCGUUUGACGGUACGAGCAGAGGAAGCCACGGCUAACUCCGUGCCAGCAGCCGCGGUAAUACGAAGGUGGCAAGCGUUGCUCGGAAUUACUGGGCAUAAAGAGCGCGUAGGUGGCUCGGUAAGUCGAUGGUGAAAUCCUAUGGCUCAACCAUAGAACUGCCGUCGAUACUGCCGGACUUGAGGACAGGAGGGGAGAGUGGAACUCCAGGUGUAGCGGUGAAAUGCGUAGAUAUCUGGAGGAACGCCGGUGGCGAAAGCGACUCUCUGGACUGUUUCUGACACUGAGGCGCGAAAGCUAGGGGAGCAAACAGGAUUAGAUACCCCGGUAGUCCUAGCCGUAAACGAUGGGCACUAAGUAGAGGGGUUUU
This 475-nucleotide ribosomal RNA is filed under the name uncultured bacterium. RNAcentral describes it as "bacterial SSU rRNA". It matches the Rfam family "Bacterial small subunit ribosomal RNA", at positions 365 to 832 of the family's 1533-position model. The record is from RNAcentral.